This 640-nucleotide ribosomal RNA is filed under the name uncultured bacterium. RNAcentral's name for it is "bacterial SSU rRNA". It matches the Rfam family "Bacterial small subunit ribosomal RNA", at positions 202 to 844 of the family's 1533-position model. The record is from RNAcentral.
GAAAGAAUAUCGGAGACGGAUGGGCAUGCGGCGCAUUAGCUAGUUGGCGGGGUAACGGCCCACCAAGGCGACGAUGCGUAGGGGUUCUGAGAGGAAGGUCCCCCACACUGGUACUGAGACACGGACCAGACUCCUACGGGAGGCAGCAGUGAGGAAUAUUGGUCAAUGGGCGAGAGCCUGAACCAGCCAAGUCGCGUGAGGGAGUACUGCCCUAUGGGUUGUAAACCUCUUUUGUCGGGGAGCAAAAGCCGGACGUGUCCGGCUGUGAGAGUACCCGAAGAAAAAGCAUCGGCUAACUCCGUGCCAGCAGCCGCGGUAAUACGGAGGAUGCGAGCGUUAUCCGGAUUUAUUGGGUUUAAAGGGUGCGCAGGCGGAUUUUUAAGUCAGCGGUCAAAUCGUGGGGCUCAACCCCAUCCAGCCGUUGAAACUGGGGAUCUAGAGUGUGCGAGAGGUAUGCGGAAUGCGUGGUGUAGCGGUGAAAUGCAUAGAUAUCACGCAGAACCCCGAUUGCGAAGGCAGCAUACCGGUGCACAACUGACGCUCAGGCACGAAAGCGUGGGUAUCGAACAGGAUUAGAUACCCUGGUAGUCCACGCAGUAAACGAUGAAUGCUACCUGUUUGGCCAGAUUGAAGGCUGAGC